Non-coding RNA from Myodes glareolus (Bank vole), 745 nucleotides. The record is from RefSeq and is a predicted model, not a curated record. Lineage: Eukaryota; Metazoa; Chordata; Mammalia; Rodentia; Cricetidae.
GCACAGACCACCAAAGAGGCAACAUGUAAGCUGUCACACUGAGAAAGUUACCCAACAGCCCUGGAAAACCCUGGAGGAAAAUGGACCCGAGUCCCAGGACUGCACCUGAUUCCCCUCGCAGGUUCUGCCUCACCUCUUUAAGUUGUGGCCCAAAUCCUCAAGAGAGGACAAUGCAUGUGUUUCCAGAGGCAGACAGGAAAGCCUGCUUGAAGCUGGGAACAGCCGGUUCCCCUGAUUGCAAUGACGGCUCCUGACCAUGAAGACGAGGAGGAAGAACAAGCCAACCACAGGCGACACACCACCCCUGCUGCUGCUGCUACCUCCCAGUUGGACUAGAAUGUGACAGAAUUCCCCACAGCUUUGUUGUCUCUCUCCCCUACCCCACGCCUGGCGCUGGAAUCUUACAGACAUCUGGAAUUAUGAUGCGGUAAAUGCAGUAAAACACAGAUUUCUUUUUGUGAAAAUAUUCCGAUCUCAGACCCAAGAGGGCAGGGAUAUUGAGUAAUUGACAUCCUCGCCAUAAACAUAUUAUGGACAUUUAUAAACAUGGCCUAUCUCUUGGCUGCUUUAGGCUUCUGGUGUGCCUGGGAGAGCUUUGAUUUUUGAAAGGGCUUAGCUGAUAGGCAAGCUCUCCCUCUCCUCCGAUUUGCAUGAAGUCCUGUUUUAGCUAGCCUGGGACAAACCAAGGGACACCCCCCUCCAUUUUAUUUUCUUGAAAUAAAUAUCUAAAAAAGCAUUUCUGUGC